UCCGAAUUGGUGUAGUGGCUAACAUUCGACGUUCUCAAAAAGCUGUGAAUCGUCGAGCGCAGGGUUCGAUUCCUUGAUUCGGAG
RNAcentral lists this transfer RNA (84 nucleotides) under Hypoxylon rubiginosum. RNAcentral describes it as "tRNA-Glu". It matches the Rfam family "tRNA". From Rfam's summary of the family: Transfer RNA (tRNA) molecules are approximately 80 nucleotides in length. Their secondary structure includes four short double-helical elements and three loops (D, anti-codon, and T loops). Lineage: Eukaryota; Fungi; Ascomycota; Sordariomycetes; Xylariales; Hypoxylaceae. The record is from RNAcentral.